Piliocolobus tephrosceles (Ugandan red Colobus) is the source of this 1523-nucleotide long non-coding RNA. RefSeq lists it as uncharacterized. The transcript is spliced from 5 exons. The record is from RefSeq and is a predicted model, not a curated record. Lineage: Eukaryota; Metazoa; Chordata; Mammalia; Primates; Cercopithecidae.
GAGAAUUCACUGAUUCACUGAUGCGGCCAGUAAGUCAUCUGGGCCAAAGGUGGGUGGGGAGAUGAUAGGGGUGCAAGUGUCACCUUCAAUCACAGCAUAACUGCCCUUGCUUUCUUACCUCUCAUUUAGAUACUUCAGUGCUUGCUCAGGUCCCCUGUACCCUCCUUCAUUCUUCCUUCCCAGCCAUACUACUUAUGGGGAGACUUUCUCUUUAUAAAAUGACUGUUAGUCUUGUCAAAUUAAUCCCAAAGUAGUACCAUCAAUUUCCCCCUAAAAUACCAACAAGACUCCUGCUUGAAACUACUUGUCCAUUAGGGACAGAGAAGAGUUCAUGAGAAUCAGCAUUUUCUGAGGACUCUAGCUGUCUUCCGAGAGAGAGUUCUCCUGCUGGUGCCUCCUCUGUAAUAAAGCAAAGGCUCCUGGAACCACAUUAUCAUUCUCUUCACUCAAGAGAUGAGGAUGCUGAAAUUCAGAGAGGGGAAGUGAUUUGCCUCAGCUUGUGCUAAAGAAACAUUUCAACAGAGAACCCAGUGGAAAUUAUGACAUGUUAUCUUCUCAGAGUCCUGAACUCCCAUCCCUACCUCAGAAGAGACUCCACUGUUCACAGAAGCUAAAGGCAGUUCCUUCCCAGUGGCAACUAUGUUUGGAUGUUGGAUCUACACUUUUCUCAAGCACUGUGAUCUUCAAAUGGAGAGUGAACCUGAGAGAAGAGAAGCCACCUUUAUAGGCCACACAGCAAGUUGGUGGCAUAGCCAGCCCUCACACUCACAUCUCCUGACAAUAAGUAAGGUAGAGAAGAAAGGAGAAGGAAAGAGAUGAAGGUUGCUUGCUAGAAGAGAAGUCUGGAUUCCCAUUAUGCGUUUUCUGUGGGCCAUUUGGUUGUACAGGAAGUUUGGUGCUGGCAUCUGCUUCUGGUGAAGCCCUCAGAAAGCUUACAGUAAUGGUGGAAAGCUAAGGUGGAGCAGGCACAUCAUAUGGUGAGAGAGAGAACAGGAGAGCGAUGGAGGAGGUCCCAGACUCUUAAGAAAACAGAUCUCAUGUGCACUCAAAGUGAGAACUCACUUAUCACCAAGGUGAUGAUGCUAAGCAGCUAAAGGGGCUGACCAGUCACCUCUCACCAGGUCCCAACUCCAACAUUAGGAAUCACAUUUCAACAUGAGAUUUGGAGAGGACACACAUUGAAACCAUGUCACAUGUGUAUCUUUCCAUCCUUUCCAUGUCAGCACAUUCAGUCUUGCUGACUCCCUUAAAGGCUACCUGGUUGAAAUGUAACUUUAGGAAAACCCUGAGGUUUUGAUAAGUUUUAUGUAGAGGGCACUGAAUUUGAUUUUGAAUGUAUAAAUUCAGUGUUCAUUUGCCGUCUUCAGGUUUCUUUUACUUUUUCUCUAUAUCGAGGGCACUACCCAGUUAUGCAUUCUGACACUUGAAGAAUUCUGGCGGCUUGCAAAUGUUCCAUGGAGAUGAAAAUUAACUUGAUUGGUUUUCCUUCCUGAACACCAUGUGUCCACUCUGGCCUUGGGCGA